UCGCCUGUUUAACAAAAACAUGUCUUUUUGAAAUUUUUUUAAAGUCUGACCUGCCCACUGAAUUUUUUUAAAUGGCCGCAGUAUACUAACUGUGCAAAGGUAGCAUAAUCAUUAGUCUUUUAAUUGAAGGCUGGUAUGAAUGGUUGGACGAGAUAUUAACUGUUUCAUAAAAAUUUAUAAUAGAAUUUUAUUUUUUAGUCAAAAAGCUAAAAUUUAUUUAAAAGACGAGAAGACCCUAUAAAUCUUUAUAUUUAUAUUAUUAUAAUUUUUCAGAUUUUUUUUAUUAUAAUAAUAGAUUAUAUUUUAUUGGGGUGAUAUUAAAAUUUAAUAAACUUUUAAUUGUUUAAAUCAUUAAUUUAUGAAUAAUUGAUCCGUUAUUAGCGAUUAAAAAAACAAGUUACUUUAGGGAUAACAGCGUAAUUUUUUUGGAGAGUUCAUAUCGAUAAAAAAGAUUGCGACCUCGAUGUUGGAUUAAGAUAUAAUUUUAGGUGUAGCCGCUUAAAUUUUAAGUCUGUUCGACUUUUAAAUUCUUACGUGAUCUGAGUUCAGACCGGA
This 555-nucleotide ribosomal RNA is filed under the name Lucilia sericata (common green bottle fly). RNAcentral's name for it is "partial 16S ribosomal RNA". It matches the Rfam family "Bacterial large subunit ribosomal RNA", at positions 1796 to 2620 of the family's 2925-position model. Lineage: Eukaryota; Metazoa; Arthropoda; Insecta; Diptera; Calliphoridae. The record is from RNAcentral.